CCUCGCGCCAUGAAUAAACGCUGGAGAAGGGAGGAAAGUUUUAUAAUGUGGAGUGCAAUAGAUAUGUGUUAGGUGGUAUUCUGUCACGGUGAGUCGUCUUCAUGGCAGCGUCUGGCACCUCCCCGCUGAUUCAUCUGCGGCUGGGGGUAAAUGGAUGAGGUGGCCGCCGCUGCCGCCUUUACCGCACGCCUGCCCAGCGGAAAGAGGACAAAAACUGGCUUUAUCUCGUGUUGUGUUGGAGUUUAUUGGUCACGAAAUCAAGCAUAAAACGAGUAGAAAAGUCAGGAUAUGUCAAUCGCGUGUUCGUCCCUUUGUAUUUCGUCCUUCACCAGUCACCGCAAGCUGGGUCCUCCGUCCCUUAGCCCGGGCGUGCAACCUUGCCCCUCACCGCACCACCUCCCAUCGCCUUGCCCCUCACCUUUCCGCCGACCUUUCUCGCCGCCUCGCACCAAAAAGGAAGGUAUUGGCUGUUUCUUCUACUGCAUGCCAGGUUGCGACACUUGCCACUGUGAAAGCCGCCCCUCGGAGCUGAAGAAAGCUUUACGGCGGCGCUGGUGUCCAUUCCUGCACGCCGCGUCACGCGUUGCCAACAACCAUGACCGACUUCCACUUUGGCGAAGGCAGCAGCAUACCCAAAGGGGUGGCUGGAAGGAUGGCGCCGUGCGGACCCGACCACCGCGGGAGAGAAAGGUUGCUAUCCGCGAAAGGCAAUGGGGUGGCGACUUUUAAACUUCCGCGUGGUAAUCCUUCACUGUUGACUCACUCUCCUUGAAGAGAAAGCUGUGGGUACGUACAAUCAGUGUAGCCUGUCAGUCUUAACGUAAUUCGGAAAAAAGUGCCUCGCAAAAGGUCUAGAGGAAAAUAUAAAAAGUGCUCAAAGAGUAACGGAGAGAAAAAUGUCAAGUAUAACAUGAGACAGAAAGCGAUUAUCAUGGAUCAUGGAACAGACAAUGGUUGAAGAUAUUCUAAUAACAAUUAAGAAUAAAACGCGGAUUUGUGUAUCGUGCGUAGAACAUAACAUUUGGACCCCAACAGUGGCAGCCCAGGAACUGUUGAAAUCAGGGCAGACAGGGACGCAGGUGGAAAGAUAAAAUAAGAACCUUUGCCGAAGACUUUAAUAUAACACCGUCAGAUAGAGAGAUGGAAAGCAUUUGGAAAGGUCCGUAUCCUGCAGUGAACUAAUGAUAGUCAAUAAUGAUGAAACGAAAGGGGCGGUUGUUAAGCUAAUCCCUGGAACAAACAUCAGAUGUGAGUGGGCCGUGUGGUCUAAGAAGGCAUUGACAAUGUUUAGAUUUUUAUACUCGCGUGUAACCGUUUCGUAAGAGCACUGCUACAUCCCCUAUGAAGAGUGAUGGAAAGUGGCGUGUGACCGCUCCGUCAGGUGGGAAGAUGUUGAUGAAGAUGUAGACUGCUAUCCGGCUCAAGACUUUUUUUUUUCAUCCUCUGAACGUGUCCUCCACAUACUCAAGCCUAAUGAAGAUGCUCAGACGGCAGACGCGAGUUGCAUUCACAUGGCAUUUUAAGACUGAAAAAAAAAAUCCUUCAGCUCCGGGUGCAAGGUCUGUCCUCGCGCCGCCCAGCUGCUCCUGAGUGGGGCAAGGAAAGACUGGUCCGGCGGAGCAGUAGACCUUGGCUGUCACCGCGGGAUGGGCCGUAGAGCAGGAAGCCUAUAACAAUAAUUUCCUGUGGAAAUUUCUAAGUCGACAAGUUUCUUUUCACAUAAAAACCUACUUCCCCGUAGCCUGAUAAUUAAAUUCUUCCCACUUUUUCUCCUUGUGUUAACACCUUGACAGUGAACGCUAUAUAUAGUGACAUCAGAUCAGGAACUUCAACUGUGUAAAUAUAUUUCUAAGAGUAGAUAUUAUUAAUGACCUUCAUAGCCACUCAAUGAAAAAAAAAAUCUACCCGACAUCUUGAAUGGCGUGAUGCUAAACUUUCUCUAAAGAUGCUGAAAAAAAAUAGCAAUACCUCGAGGAGUUAAAGAUGGAUGAAGUGCUUUGAUAAGGACAGGACUCACGUACGGUAGCGGUUUUAUUAAGUUCGAUAUCUCCAGCCUAAGUGAAGACAAAUGCAAGAACAGAUUCACAAACAUUAUGGUGGAUGAGUGGACCAUGCUUGGCAACCAUGUAGCGCCAAUACGACAGACGCCUUCAAGAUAAGGUUUUAUAAUAAAUUCAUCGACAGGGAGAAUAUGAGCUGCCCGUGUAGACUUAACGGCGUCUUGACGAUUUGUUCUUUUGUGCUCUAAUGAAGAUAUAAAGUUCAUCUCUCGAAUCCUAAUCAUAUAUCAUGCAGAAGUAAGGCGGGGGGAGAGGGCGGGAGAGCUACAAGGCGGCCUCCUCCGACUUAACCCCUUGACAGCGGAUUUCCUAUCAGAGGACCUCACCAAGCUACAGGAGUGGAACAAAAAGUGGCUGCUACAAUUCAGUAAAGAUAAAUGGAAGGAAACUCAACAUGGGAAACACUCCACUCUCCACCACAGAGGCAGAGAAAGACCUGGGAGUGUAUGUUACCAGGCUACCAGUAAAGGCGGACGGGUUAAUCUCUGAGGGAUCUGAACACACCUUUGCGGAGGCUGAGCGCGUUUGGGAAGCCUGGCAGGGACGAAGUGGCGUAUCCGAGGAGGAGGAGCACCACCACCAUCAUCAUCAUCAUCUCAUCAUCAUAAUCAUCACCACCAAUCAUUACAUACUAUUAAAGUUCCGUGCACGACAAAGAUUCUCAACGUUCUCCACCUCUCCCUGUCUGAUGAGAGUGCAACAACAACAACAACAACAACAACAACGACAACAACAACAAAAAAACACUUCAUUAUUGUAUUUCCUCAGUAAAGGAGACAGACAGACAGACAAGCAGGCCAAGGACAAGACGAAUUAAUUAACAAAGAAAAGAAAAAAGCCCGCAACACGUUUUUUUUUUUCUCUCUCUAGGAAGAAAUUCUAGUGUUUUCCUCCUCCAUCUCCCCCCCCCCCCCUCUUGUGAAAGAAUAAAAC
This is a long non-coding RNA of Eriocheir sinensis (Chinese mitten crab), 2993 nucleotides long. RefSeq lists it as uncharacterized. The record is from RefSeq and is a predicted model, not a curated record. Lineage: Eukaryota; Metazoa; Arthropoda; Malacostraca; Decapoda; Varunidae. The transcript has 3 exons.